This 301-nucleotide ribosomal RNA is filed under the name uncultured bacterium. RNAcentral's name for it is "partial 16S ribosomal RNA". It matches the Rfam family "Bacterial small subunit ribosomal RNA", at positions 509 to 809 of the family's 1533-position model. The record is from RNAcentral.
CAGCCGCCGCGGGAAUACGAAGGGGGCUAGCGUUGCUCGGAAUUACUGGGCGUAAAGGGAGCGUAGGCGGACAUUUAAGUCAGGGGUGAAAUCCCAGAGCUCAACUCUGGAACUGCCUUUGAUACUGGGUGUCUUGAGUGUGGUAGAGGUAUGUGGAACUCCGAGUGUAGAGGUGAAAUUCGUAGAUAUUCGGAAGAACACCAGUGGCGAAGGCGACAUACUGGAUCAUUACUGACGCUGAGGCUCGAAAGCGUGGGGAGCAAACAGGAUUAGAUACCCCUGUAGUCCCUGUCUCUUAUAA